GUUGAACGGUAUUGUAUGGUGCUGCACUAGACAAAGAGAGUAGCGCACUGGUGAGUAACACGUGGGAACGUGCCUUUUAGUGGGGGACAACAGUUGGAAACGACUGCUAAUAACCGCAUAAGACCCUGAGGGGGAAAAGAUUUAUCGCUAAAAGAUCGGCCCGCGGAAGAUUAGGCAGUUGGUGGGGUAAAGGCCUACCAAACCUACGAUCUAUAGCUGGUCUGAGAGGACGAUCAGCCACAUUGGAACUGAGACACGGUCCAGACUCCUACGGGAGGCAGCAGUGAGGAAUAUUGGGCAAUGGAGGGAACUCUGAACCCCCAGCCAUGCCGCGUGAGUGAGAAGGUCUUCGGAUUGUAAAGCUCUUUCGGAUGGGACGAUGAUGACGGUACCAUCUAAAGAAGCCCCGGCAAACUUCGUGCCAGCCGCCGC
Molecule: ribosomal RNA, 432 nt
Filed under: uncultured bacterium
Lineage: Bacteria
Description: bacterial SSU rRNA
Rfam family: Bacterial small subunit ribosomal RNA
Source: RNAcentral